CCAUCCAUUGGAAUAUCCAGUGCAGCCCAGCUCCUCCUAGUUGUCUUUUCUUGGCGUCCUGAUCGCCGCCCCGCUGUGACCGAUCAGCGACAGGUCGCGGUCGCGCUGCUCGCAUGCUCACAUCGCCCCGCUCCACAACCCAAUUUCCCGUGCUUGUCACGACCAUGGUCACCACCACCAUGGCGUGCCGUUUCGUCCCCGACCUGUCACCUCGCCUAAAGCUCCGCAUAGGCAUGCUUGGCUCUUUGGCGCCGCCCGCUCUUCUCCUUGUCUCCUUUCUGCUGGCCACGCUCGCCGCCCGAACCCGCCUGUCCGUGGUGACCACGUCACCAGGACGGCCGGUGCGGCCCCGAUCCUCUCCCUGGCAUAGAUAGGAGACCUGCACCUCUCCAUAGCCCAAGCCCCACUCACUCCAAUCUCCCCUCUCCUCCCUGCAACCCUCGGAAGCAGCAGAAACGGAGAGCCCUGCCCUGCUCCUUCUCGCAGGAAAAGAGGCCGGCCGUACUGCUAGUUGACGCCCGCGUCGCAGCCGUCACCUCGCCCUCGUCGCGUUCGCUCACAGCAUCGACGGACCAGGUCGGCAUCCGCGUCUUCGUCGCGCGCCCGGGCCGCCCAGGCCGUCGCGGUCUUCCUCUGCAUGCAACCGCGCCCUCCUUCGUUCUCCGCCCGUCUCCCCCAGGCUCCGCUCGCUAGGUGGUCGCCAUCAUGGAGCCCUGGCACGGCUGCAUUGCUGUACCCGAAGCGGAGCACGACUUCGUCCGCGCGCGUCGCUGCCUGGGGAGAGCCACCUCACGUCGCUGUCUUUGCCUCCGAAACAACCCAGACCACCAGAGACCCCGUCAGCGAGCAUCGCCGCUCCACACGGACCAGUCCUCGACGCUGUUCUCAUCUCCAUCUGCGGCAGCGACCAGCAGCACGCCGCACGUCCUCCUCCGCAUCGACGCCCGGGAGCAGCUCAAGCCCGACCGAGGCGAAACCCCCAGGCCUCCGCUUCUCUCCUGCAUCGCCUCCGCCACACCACGCCGUCCCCGUCGCGUCCAAGACCCCGCCGGUGAGCCCUGGAAAUGCGAACGCUAUCGGAGAAGGAGAGGAUCUUGGUGAGGAUUUCGAAGAGGAAGGAAGAGCAGAGGUUCGUGAAGAAGAAGUCCAGGGACAAAUAGCCAACCAAGGCAAGCCACCUCUUGAUGCAUACCUUAUCCUAAUUUUCUUACUCUUGCAUUAUUAUAGGUUUAUAAAUUGCAUGUCUUUUUUAUUUAUUUAUGUGAGUGGUUAUAUCCACUCGGAAUUUUAUUAUUCCACCCUUACGGGUGCUACCCCUCGUUGAUACCUACUGGACAAUCUUGGUAGCGAUUUGGUGCUUAACACCUUAUCCUCUCUUUGUCGCCGCUUUUCAAAUAAAGUUGGACUAUAGGUUGGGAUCCCUUUUGAAAAAAGGAAUUUGGAAAAAGGUUUUAAAGAAAAUGAGUUCUUUGAAAACCUUGGAAUGGGGGAACCUUGCCCAAGUGGAAAUUUUUAUGAAAAGGUUUUGAGAAAGAUGGUGCUGAAGGAAAAAUGAGGAACUUUUGUUUUCAAAAAUCUUUGUUGACUGCGUACACAACCGGACCUAGCCAGUACAACCACAUUACCCUUUAGUGGGACGGGGCGUAGCGUAGUAGUUUGUCUCGCCUUAGUCUGGGUCCUGCAAGUGUAAGGGGUAGUCCGAACAUGGACACCUAUCGACCGGGCCUUCCCGACGUACUGGGAUGCCUUUCCUUCUUUUCAGAUGGCAGGGGCACAACCUAUGAGCUCCUAUUGAAUAAUGUCCCGCAGUUGGCCGCGGCAUUCCGGAGGGUCGAGCUGGUCGGGGAAUUUGCUACUCCUGGGUAAACGACCCCUCGGACUCUGGUGUUGGGAGGUACAACUCUAGGCGGCAUGUCUUAGGCUAAGGCGAGCAAGCGAAAAACUGCGAUCGGUUAUCCGAACCUCGCGUUUUGACGCUUGGUGAACCAGGGAUGAUCCCGGCGGAUUUAUCGGAUCUUGUGGGGAAAGUGUACAACCUCUGCAUAGUGUAAAUCUAUUCGAAUAGCCGUGUCCGCGGUUAUGGACGUGGGAAAGGCGGUGCGGAGUAUCAAAGAAGGAUUUUGUUUUAUAAAAGAGUUUUUUUCAAAGGGUUUAGAAAAGGAUACCAGUGGGACUGGUGGAAAGGUACCUGGGAGGUACGGUGGAAAGUUGGAAAAGUUGUUUUGGCCAUAUGAGAUGGCCGGGAAGGAAAAAUGGGUCACCCUAACCUAUUAGUCUUCAAAAGAAACUUGUUUUCAAAAAGGUUUUCAACAAAGAUAUAGAGAUGUCAUACUCUCGAGAGAAACAAUCUCUCACUCCUUGUAACCUUAGAAUAGUGCAUGUUCCUUGCUACUGCCAAAUUGCAUAUCCUUUACUUCUCUCCAAGGUGGUUUGCGAGUACAAUUCAUAAUGUACUCAUGGCUUUGUCCCUGGCUA
Molecule: non-coding RNA, 2475 nt
Organism: Lolium perenne
Lineage: Eukaryota; Viridiplantae; Streptophyta; Magnoliopsida; Poales; Poaceae
Source: RefSeq, a predicted model, not a curated record